Molecule: transfer RNA, 71 nt
Filed under: Drosera peltata
Lineage: Eukaryota; Viridiplantae; Streptophyta; Magnoliopsida; Caryophyllales; Droseraceae
Description: tRNA-Gln
Rfam family: tRNA
About the family: Transfer RNA (tRNA) molecules are approximately 80 nucleotides in length. Their secondary structure includes four short double-helical elements and three loops (D, anti-codon, and T loops).
Source: RNAcentral
UGGGGCGUGGCCAAGUGGUAAGGCACCGGGUUUUGGUCCCGGUAUCGAAGGUUCGAAACCUUUCGUCCCAG